UGAGUGGCUGCGUUUUCGUUGACGUUC
Molecule: small RNA, 27 nt
Filed under: Bombyx mori (domestic silkworm)
Lineage: Eukaryota; Metazoa; Arthropoda; Insecta; Lepidoptera; Bombycidae
Description: ovarian small RNA-32283
Source: RNAcentral